RNAcentral lists this ribosomal RNA (696 nucleotides) under uncultured bacterium. RNAcentral describes it as "bacterial SSU rRNA". It matches the Rfam family "Bacterial small subunit ribosomal RNA", at positions 790 to 1482 of the family's 1533-position model. The record is from RNAcentral.
GUAGUCCACGCCGUAAACGAUGAAUACUAGAUGCAGCGGGUAUCGACCCCUGCUGUGCCGUAGCUAACGCGUUAAGUAUUCCGCCUGGGGAGUACGGCCGCAAGGCUAAAACUCAAAGAAAUUGACGGGGGCCCGCACAAGCGGUGGAGCAUGUGGUUUAAUUCGAUGCAACGCACAGAACCUCACCUGGGCUUGAAAUCCUCGGACCGCCAUAGAGAUAUGGUUUUCUUCUUCGGAAGACUGAGUGACAGGUGCUGCAUGGCUGUCGUCAGCUCGUGUCGUGAGAUGUCAGGUUAAGUCCUAUAACGAGCGCAACCCUUAUCGUUAGUUGCCAGCGGGUCAUGCCGGGGACUCUAACGAAACUGCCGGUGUAAACCGAGAGGAAGGUGGGGAUGACGUCAAAUCAGCACGGCCCUUAUGGGCUGGGCUACACACGUGCUACAAUGGCCGGUACAGAGGGCAGCCAACCCGCGAGGGGGAGCCAAUCUCAGAAAACCGGUCGUAGUCCGGAUUGCAGUCUGCAACUCGACUGCAUGAAGUCGGAAUCGCUAGUAAUCGCGAAUCAGCAUGUCGCGGUGAAUACGUUCCCGGGCCUUGUACACACCGCCCGUCACACCAUGGGAGUGGGUUGCAAAAGAAGUAGGUAGCUUAACCUUCGGGAGGGCGCUUACCACUUUGUGAUUCAUGACUGGGGUG